RNAcentral lists this ribosomal RNA (253 nucleotides) under uncultured bacterium. RNAcentral describes it as "partial 16S ribosomal RNA". It matches the Rfam family "Bacterial small subunit ribosomal RNA", at positions 524 to 776 of the family's 1533-position model. The record is from RNAcentral.
UAAGGAGGGUGCAAGCGUUGUUCGGAAUCACUGGGCGUAAAGCGCGUGUAGGCGGCUUGGCAAGUCGAGUGUGAAAUCCCAGGGCUCAACCCUGGAACUGCACCCGAAACUGCCUCGCUGGAGUCCCGGAGGGGGUGGCGGAAUUUCCGGUGUAGAGGUGAAAUUCGUAGAUACCGGAAGGAACACCAGUGGCGAAGGCGGCCACCUGGACGGUGACUGACGCUGAGACGCGAAAGCGUGGGGAGCAAACAGG